AUCUCUGUCUACCUGAGGCCUUCUAAAGGUAAGCAGCUCUUUUCCUUCAUUUUUGCAUCUAUGGCUGCUGUGUUUAGGCUUGUUCUCAUUUGCUGUAGCCAAAGACUUUGCCACCCUGCUAUUGUCAUCUCACUGUUGCAUCACACUUCUGCACUGUGAAUCUGUUUCAUAUCAGAAGUGCGAUAAGAAGUUUCCUUCCUCUCUGCAGGAAUGUCGAUGAAUUUUCUUGUGUCGCUGAGGUCCACAGGACUGCUAAGUUCCUUUCUUCGGUGUAGAUGUUCAUAACAGAUGUCCUUACACAACUCAUGGCAUCCUCUGCUUAUGUGGCUGCAACUGCUAAUGCCCCAGCAGCUGACCCACUGGCUCAGUGGCCAUUAUUGCUUCAUCGGAGGGUUUGCAAAGGUUCACAAAGAUCUGCACUGCUGUCCCUGUAUUUGUGCAUUCCUCAGACUGGGCCUCAACUUCUUCCAGUUCUCCUACACAAAGCAAACAUCUGCACAAAUGCCAGCAGGGCAGAAUCGGGUUUCCUCCCCUUCUUCACAGUUGUUUGGAAAAGCAGCUGAUGGUGUUAGUGGAAUCAGAUGUUCUGUGAGCCUGGGGAGCAGAGGCUGCACUGUGACCCUCUGUUCUGUAACCACCAAACAGGCACCGAUUAAAUUCUGUUAGCUGUGUUCUAGGGAGGUUUCUUUGAAAUGAAAUCAGAGCUGAAUGAUACAGGAGUUGAUGUAGUUCAUAUUUGUUUUAAUCUCAAAAACCAUGGUGUGUUUUUGUUGUUGCUGCUGCUUUUGUGGGAUGGAAAGUUCAAAUAAGACUCAGGAAUGUCUCUAUUUAGGUGACGUGUUUCAGUAUUUAUGGAAUCAAUAGCAGUUUGUUCCUUGAAAUGCAUUCACAAUCAGUGUUCAGCUUAAGCCUUUUCCCCUGGAGCUGCACCUUCUGGUUGGUGCUUCAGAACUUGAGUCUGCAAGUGUCAGUGUCCCCAGGGAGAGGGCAGCAACUCCCAGCGUGGUGACCCACACAUCUGCAUUGUAUUAGGGGAAAUACAAUCCCACUGGCAGCUCUUCAGCUCCAACACUGCACACCAGUGAGGGGAUGCAGUGCAGUGUUUGCUGAAACCAAUGCUUAACAGUAUUUCAGACUAAUAAUAACAUUAUGAAAUGAAAUAAGUUGCUUUCAUUAUCUUAGCAAGCAAAUGAACAUUUUCUACAUUGUGUGGAAACCAGCUUUCUGCCCUAAAGCCCUCCAACAGAAGACCUGCACCCAGGCCAUGGCAGGAUGUAGCCAUAGAGGGGGGCAGGGCUGGGCAGGGGCUGUGUUUGGUAUGCAGGGGGGCUGAGCUCCAGCACAGGAAGGUUUUGUGGCUGCAGUGGCAGGGAGACCAUCAUGGGGUCUCAGGUGUAGAUGUCUGAGCCUGCUGAGGGUGCUGGGAGGUUUGGCAGGGCAGAGUGCUGCAGCUGUGCUGAAUGUCCUGUCCUUGAUGUCACAAUGCAGGGCUCUGGCUCACUCUGAUGCUGACUCGGAGCUGAUUGAACUAAAUUGGUUAUCGUGGCUCUGCUAUUAGCACAAAGGCCACUGCUAACCACUGUAAGGUUAGCUGCUGUUUGCUGCCUCAGGUGUUUGUGUUGACAGCAGAGAGCAGCUCUGCUCUCCAGAAGCAGUCUGUUCUGGCUCAGGAUGUAGGUACUGAAUGUUUGAAAUACAGAUAUUCCCCAUUGGAAGAAAUCUGUUCUAUUUCAUAGUUCACUUUGAGUAAUGUAGAAUAUUGCAUAUGCUGGUGGCCCACCCUUGUGCUCUUUGCAGUCCUUGCACACUGCCAUGGCUCUGGCUGGCAGCCAUUGGGGCAGCCUCACUGUGUCCAUCCCAGCGAGCUGAAUUCAGCGUGAAAUACAGAACAAAGCCUCAAUCUGGUGGUGCUGCUGGGAAACACUGGCUGCAUUUUUAACAUAUACCGUAUUGUAGUGGUGAAUGCUUAAAGUCCUUCCCGUUGUCCAUGGCUAUUUCCCUCUGCACUGAAGUUGUCCUGAGAUCCUGUGUUGGAAUGAGCAGCAUGCAGAGAUCUAAGACACAGUAAACUAGGCCUAUGUGAUUGUGCAUGUCUUUAGAAAGGUAUAAAAACUUACUGAUAAUGCCAUGGAGUUUUCCUCUCUUUUGCCCUUUCACAUGUGAAUGGCAAACCCAAAUGGAACCCCAAAAAUGCCUUCUGUACCAUUUUUGUAGGAGAGAAAAAUGGUAUUUUGCUGAUUCCAAAGAGAAAUGCUUGUGAAACUGUACCUGCAGUAAAUAGAAAUAUGACUGCAUACUGAAAUCAACCCCCCAGUAACAAUAUCAGGCCAGAGCUGGUACGCAAAGUAGUCCUCAUAGAGACAAAAUCAGACAGAUGGGAAACAUUACACCAGUUUUUCCUCAAGGGUAGCACUUAAGUAGUUCUCCACUUACAGAAAGGAGUCAUAGCAGGUUUGUAUCAAAGUAACUUCAGCUAAAGUUAUUUCUCUAAAAGGAGAUAAACAUCUCUUUUGGAAUUUCACUGGAAAGCUUAUCAGAUAUGAUAAAUAUGGCACAGGAGUAACAAGAGCCUUCAAAAGAUGCUCUUUGUCCCUGGACCCUUCUGUGGGGAACGCUGUGUCCUGAGGGGAUGCUGGAACAGCAGUUGCCUGUACAAAGUGCAGAAGCAGAUGUAUUCAAGUUACUGUAUUAAAUAAGUGUGCUGAUCACGGUAAUGCACCCUGUGCUGGGCACCAGCAUCUCCAGCCCCGCACCCAAAGGGUUUCACUGCUCAGCCCUUGUCCCUCCACUCCUCAGGAAGCAGCCAGAGUGAAGCGAAAGGAAGCAAAUGUCUCUGUGUUCCAGCUGAUGCUUUAAGGAUGGGCGGUGAGCAAGCAGAACAUGCUGGGUUGCACCAGGCCACAGCUUCUGCUGUGCACCUUCACCUGGUCCAGCUGCUGGAAGCCAUGCAGGCAAAGCAGGAGUCCUGCAGGGGGCUGAGAUGGGGCCAGCAGAUACACACCACCGCCUCCAAGCCCCCAGCACCACAGCAGUGAACUGCUGAGCCUCCAUGAUGCCUCUGGCUCAGCAGGACCUUGGGGCAGCAGCCUCUUCCCAGCCUCACAUCAGCCCAAAGAGAUGGGAUGAUACGUUGGCAAAAAAGAUGAGCUCAGCAGAAAGGGCAAAGAACGUGGUGAGCUUUCUGUAUUGACUUUGCCUUGCUCUUAAGAAAAAUGCCCUGAGAUCAAUGAGCCCUAAUGCAUCAGCUUUAGCAGAACAAAGUGUCAGCCAGAUACAUUCUAGGAAAAAGAAAGGGGAAGCAUCUAAAUGCCAAAACAGUCCAGUUGAGCUGUGUUCCAUUUCCCUUUUCUCACUGCAAAUGUGUGGCUCUCCUCACAUUCAGCCACAGCACAGAGCUGGGUUUAUGGCUGGGCACAGCACAGAGCUGGGUUUAUGGCUGGGCACAGCAUGGAGCUGGGCAGCCUUUCCUGCAGUGAGAUGCUUUCCUGGCAGGAUUCAGUCCCACCGACUGUGGUGAGGUGAGGUCGGGGUGAUGGAAACAGGGCAGCAGCCAGCAGCUCUCUGCUGUCAGCCUGACCAGCGCUACUGUUAGGAUUUGUCUCUGAUGCCCACAAGGCCUCUGCUUGCUUUUCAAACGUACCUUCAUAGUCUUAAUUAAACUGACACUCAAAUUCUAAGCAAAACUGCUACAAAUGUUAGCCUUGCUUUUUUUGUGUGCUGCCGUUUUAUUUGUUACUGGCUUUCCGUUCCAAGUCUGCCGUUCUCUGGUUGGAGCCUGUACUGUACAUGAAGGGAAAGUGAAUGGAAUGCAACCCACAGCAACGUCCAUUAAUUCUUGUGGGGAAGGGCUUUUGGACUGAGAAGUAUAAGAACCUACUUGAGUGUGUAUUUGAACGUCUGUUCCAUUGUCUGGACAGUGGUGAACUUGGUAAAGCAGGUGACUUCUGGAGGUGGCAGCCUGUGGCUCAGCCCCAUUGCACCGCCGUGAGGCCAGGAGUUCUCAGCCACAGCCUGGGAGCUCAAGAGGUGCCAGCCCAGCUGCUGGCACACAGAUGUGUUUAAUUCAAUAGGAAAGAGACGUGACUCUUUAUCUUGAAGAUGACAUACAGCACAAGGAAACUUGCCAACAAGGGAAUAGUGUGAAAAUGAAGAUGAAAUGGACUGGAGUCCCGACUUGCACAGUCUAAAGGGCGGCCAAACUGAGGGAAAUUGUGCAGGAAUAUUUAGACACUUCUAGAAAGACAUGUUGUUUUUUUCCCCAGCCUCUGUCUGUUCAACAACUAAAGCAGCUGGACGAGUUACCUAGAAAUGUUGGACCUUGGGAAAGGCCCGUGAGGCACAGCUGCUGCUGUUUGCUGCUUCAGGUGGUUCCCACUCUGAAAGGUUUUUGAGGUUCACCCAAGCAUGAAAAUGGGUCUGAUAGUACCAGGGAGGGCAACUGGGAAGACAAACCCUAGGAGGGAGUGAGAAAAGCAGCAGGGAAUUUUACGUGUUACAUUUGUGCCAAGGGAAGGGAAGGGUGCACAAACGUACCAACCUGAAGUAGCUUCUUGUAGACUUCUGGACUUAAGCUUACGCCUAAUACAACACUUCUUGGCUUUGAGCUUCAGAAGGAAGUUGCAGAUUAAAGAGCUGAGGUACAGGCAGCCUUUGUGACGCUCUGUAUCACAGCAUUAGGUAUGAAUUACAGAAUGCAUUGCAUUGAGCUUCUUUAGUCACACAAAGGUUUUAUUUUUUUAAUCUGGUAAAAAUACAGCAGAAAUGCUGUGUUCCUGCAUUCCCCUUCCAACUUCAUUGUCCUUCUGCUCUUGCUGUGGCUGUACACAGAGGUUUCUCGGUUGUCCCAUUAGCAGAGCUCGCUGCAGGGCCCGGCCGUGCCCCUUCUGCUGCCAUUUCAGCUCUUUCCACUGUAUGGCACCAGAACAAUGUGAGUUAUCUGGGGCUGCAAUCUCUACAAGGCUUCAGGGAAAAUACUUUUUAAGGAAAUAAAUUCCACGGCCGGCCCAGAAGUGCCUCUGUGAUGAACUCCUGUUUUUUCCUUUGUCCCAGUGGAAGGCAUAGCCAGGUGCACAUCAAGGUACGGCUGCAGUAGCUCAGUACUGGCAGAGGCACAAAGUGCUGGCUGUUUCUCUGCCCCGAGCUGCAGCAGCACCGCAGGGGGAGGCAGGAACGGGCCCUGCUGGUGCACGAGGGCAGGAGAGACCGAGCUCUGCUUAACAGCGGGGAGCUGGAUUCCCGGCCUUGUUGCAGGCUGCGCUGCAGGCGGCCGCUCCACCUGUAGGCGGCAGCGGAUGAUCGCGCGUGGGGCUGAGCGCACACCGUACGUGGAGACCCGAGGGGCCGAGUGCUGGACGCGCGUGUCUCAUCGCUUUGAUGUGCCGCUCUUCUGCACGGGUCCGUGGAGAUGAAUAAAAUAAUCCUUUGGGGCAACGCGCUGCAGGUCAGGAACGUGCUCACAUGAAGCGAAGGCUGAGGUGAUCGAAAAGUGCUGUGUGCGUUUGUUUUCCUUCCGGCUCAGGAGCAGCACUGGACGGGACUCACCUCCGUGCAUGGGGACAACGAAAAUCAGAACGUGCUUGAAGUAAAAAAAAACUGCGAAUAGGGAGAUUUUUGCAAAGCCACUCGUUUAUCUGGGCGAGACGUUCAGACCAGAAGUGAGGGGUUAAAGCACUCAAGCAAACGGCUGCAGCAGUGGAGCAGCCGUUCAGUGUCAGCUCCCAGCAGCACAGUUUGGGGUGCAGUGGGAUUUAUCAGUACAGAUGAGCACAGAUCUGUGCUCCUGGAUCGUGCCUUCCUGCCCAUCUAUUGCCUGGAACUUAAACCCACACGUUCCUUCCUCUUGGUGGGUGCAAAGUUUGCCGCGUUCUGUCAAGCCUGCAGUGAAUACUUAUGGGCCACAGAUGGACGCCUCAGCUGAGUGGGGAGAUGUGUCCUGUAAUUCAUGCUGCUUGUUCACAGCUGAUCCUAAAGGAGCUGACAUAAGGGCACCGAGGAGCAGGGUUUGGCAGAAACGCACUCCCUGCAUUUCUGACUGACGGGGUUUGUGCUGAGCAGUAACUGUGGCAGAGACUGAAAUGUUGGAGAGGUUUGUACUCGAGCCUGCUUUUAACUAUUGGUGGCACUGACUGUGGGGCUGCAAUCAGUGCAUGCUUUUAGCUUGAAUUUUCACUUCUUCAUUCUGGAAGGAAGAAUGGGAGAAAUGUUGUGGGUGCAAAUUCCAUGUGUGUCUCAUGCCAUCUGCGAACAGCACGCGUGAGCUGCUCAACUUCCAGAAACCAGGAACAAACAUAACAUCACUGCAGAGAGAACUGCCCUGCUCCCAAAUGGGGCUCGUACUGCAGGAAGCUGCCACUGGUCCUGAGCACAUUCACCAGUCUUGAGGGUCUGCUGUGCCACAGCUGGAUGCUCAUCCCUCCAAGAACCUGUUUUUUCUCUGCCUUUCAACAGCCUGCAAUGCAGUCAGGAAGCAAAGGAUACUAAGGGACAUUAGCCAAACUGCCAGUGUUACCACAAGGCCUGACGACACGCUGCUGCUGCGCCGGGCAGGACGGGACCAUGGGCUUGUCUGCACUGUCGGAAAACAAGCAGCCGGGAGCAGGCAGGCACAAGCAACCUGCAGAGCUUUGUGACCACAUUUCUUCAGUGUCUGCUGCCCAGUUGGAAAAGAGGUGUGCAGUCCUAGGGACCACAGAGGGAGAUGGGAGCAGCACAGUGGAAGGCAGCUAUACAAAGCCCCACAGAGGAAUCGCAUUUUCCAGCUCCUCAUUUGUUAUCCUAUGUGGUAACGUAUUAAUUCCUUCACUAAACUCUUUUGAUUAUUUUUAUUACCCUCCUGAUGUCACUCUGAAUAUUACUGUUAUCCUUAUAAAUACACAAACCCCUUUCUGAAGAAUUUUAGCCAUCCAACCAACACGCCCUGUGACCUUGAUGUCAGUACACUCAGUUCAUCAGUUGAAUUGAAAAUAAUUGAACUUUGGAUGAAAAAUCCACUAGGUAUCCCUAAGGCUUAUACAUUUGGUAUGGUUUAAGGAGUAAGGUGUAAGUACUUGUACAUAAAAUGAAUAUCAUUCUAACGGGUUUUGUGUUUUCUUAGAUGUUACUUGACAAUUUUGGCAGUACACCUCCAUGCAAAAAACAAAGGUGUGUUUUAUAAACACAUGCCAGGUUAAAGAGACCCAGCACUUGCCUCAGCUGAUUAAUCAGAGGUUCAGGCUGUGAUUACCAAUUUCCCAUACACACCUGCAAGGCAUCCACUGUACUGUAUGGGUCUGCUGGGGGCAGGAGUGGCAGCAGACAAGAGGGCGUGCAAAAUGGGCCCCAGCUGCAGUGUUUGACUGCCUGGAAACAGGAAUGUAUCCAUUCUCCUGCAGUUUAAUGCAAAAACUCCUGAUCCUCAAGAAUACCAGCUGUGAGUUGAUGUCAGUGAAUAGCAAAUAUUCCCCUGACAUCAAUCCAGAUCAUGUUUCAUUGCAGAAGGAUUGUCUUCAAAUAGACUGCCACUGGUUCUAUGUUUAGGACCUACUUUCCAUGCUUGCUGAUAGUGUCCUGCUUCUUUCCAAAGCUACAUAUUCCCCAUGUCUUGGCCAGCUUUGGGCCCAGCCCCGUAAGUCACACUCCUGUGAAUAAGCCUUAUCCAUGAAUGCAGUGAGUCUCAUGUCAUGACAAAAAGCUCUAAUGAAAUGAUGUUCUACAAGCACAAUGAAAAGCCAAACCAAUGAGUACUCAGCUAAGACAGCUGCACGAUAAGCAACUUUUUUACAUUUAUCGCCAAGCCCUAAGACCCCCAAAAUAACCACACAUUGAGUCACCAUCAUGAUGAAGCCAGUUUCUGAAGAUCUACAUAGAUAAUAUGGUUAUUGUUUUCAAUACAUACAUCCUGAAUAGGGCUCUGGAAAUUGGAACCGUGAAAAUAAUUAUGGUGAUGAUAAAUUUAAAAUGCUAUCCAGACGAGAAGCUGAGGAAAUCUCUAGAGAUAUCUUUUGGUGGACUUCAUAAAUCUUAACACCAUUUUUAAUUAAGUAUUAGUUAUUUCAUAAUCCACAUUGCUUAUUUAGCAACUGCUUUGGUAUUGUGUAUGUUAUCCUGGCAACAUACAUUUUUUCCUUAGGCCAGUAUCACAAAACUCCAUUUGGAUCAUCUGUCAUCCCGAAUCUGCCUACGUUGUUAUUCUAUAGCUGCAGAUCUCAAAAUGAUGAGCAAUGCUGGAUAUUCAUCAACCUUAUUUCAAAAAUUGAGUUACUAUGAUGUAAUGAGAUUAAGAAAUUUGCUUGAUGCCAUUAAAUGAAUUAGUAGCCAUACAAAGAUGAGAAAAUAUUUCCCUAUUCCUGGCACUGCUCGUAAUCCACUGGACACAAAGGCCCGAACCACUUCUUACUGCCAUUCGCUGCUGCAGCAAAUCGGUGCACUGAAGGAGGCAUUAAUUCACUCUUCAGGGCUUUUUAAGAAACUUUUAUAUGACUGAAAGAGAACUUCAGAUACUUCAAAGAAGAGAGAAUGAUGGCACUGUCAUGGCACUUCAGGGACUGAAAUUCAGUCUGCAAAAGCCCAUACAAAUUCAAAACAAGGAGGAUGAUAUUUAUGCAGAACUGAUGCUCUGUGCAUAUAGAAGUGUGGGUUUUGGCAGAGCUUGUGAGCUUCAGGAAGCCAUUGAAGGGAAUAAAAUACAAAUACACAGCCAUGACAUUUUAUGAUGUUUCCUUUCUUAGGCCUUUUUGGAGGUUAUCAAAUCCUUGGUGGGUAUUUGGCGUAUGGUUAAGAAAACUCACGAGGAAAAAUGUAAAGGAAACUGAAGCAACCGAUUAUGCACAUUCUGUAGUUUUUGUAGUUAUCUGCUGGGGACUUCUCAGGUCCUUUGCGUUACCAAAAGCAAGUUUUGCAGUCAGAAUGUACAGUCUCCUUAUGAUUUCCACAUAAUAGUGCUGUUGUUCCAGAUGGAUAUCAAUCCAAUUAAGAGCAAAGAAGAUUUGAGCUAUAUUCAGUGGAUUUGGAAUUACCAUUGACACCAAAUUUCUUUGCCUCUGGUGUUUUUUUUCGGCACCCAUACAAGGCGCUAUGUUAAAUUUUAAAAAACUCUUAUAAAUAUAAAUAUGGAGGAAAACUCUGCUCGAUUGUUCUCUUCUUGUUUUAGAACCUUUGAAAAUAAGCUUAUAAUUCUAACACAUCAUUAAUGUCCAUCCUUCCAAGAUAUUCUGGAAAUUUCUCUUUGCAACACAACAUGGAGGAGGCUGAGGAUAAGUGGCUGCAAGUUUACACUUUGUAAGAGAUGUGAUGUGAGCUUGUAAUUCAGGUUCUGUGUCAUCUGUGGGAAAAACCAUAGAAUGCUCAUCUCUCCUCGUUGCACACACCCAGAUGUGGUAUCAGAUUCUGAUCUCUUUAAUCAUUAGAACUUUUCGUUAUUAUUUGAAUCAGCAUGCUGUCUGGGGAGAUUGAUUGCAGAACAGAGUGUUACUAUGCUGUGUUCCCAUCUCCUUCUGCUCUGCUCUGGUAAAUGCCUGAGAGACUGGCUUCGGUUAUUAUGUGAUAUUCCGUGUAAACCUGACUUCAUAAGUAGAUGCAGGACUCUCUGGCAGUCAUGCUCCAGAAAAAGGGGACAGACUCAUUAACAGGAUCUGUUGUGACAGGACAAGGGGAAAUGGUUUUAGACUGAAAAAGGGCAGAUUUAGAUUGGAUAUGAGGAAGAAGUUUUUAUAAUACGGGUGGCGGGGCACUGGCACAGGUUGCCCAGAGGGGAGUGGGUACCCCAUCCCUGCAGAUGGCCAAGGUCAGGCUGGAUGGGGCUCUGGGCACCUGAUGGAGCUGUGGGUGACCUCAUUCACUGCAGGGGAGUUGAACUAGAUAAACUGUUUAAGUGUCUCUUCCAACUCAAAUGAUUCUAUGAUUACAGAGUCAUAUAAUCCAUCCAUCCACUAUCCGGUACAGAAAAGGUAUUUUGACUUUUGUAAAAAGUUUCAGUUAGUGCAGAAUGUGAAUUUUGUGUAACAUGUUUGUGGGAAAGAGAAAAAAAAAGGGCCAGGAAACCAAUUGUGGCUUAUCAGUGUCCCAUAUGACACAGCAGCAAUACAUCUGUCAAAAAUUACUCAGAACCUAAAUAUGUAGAAGUUCCCACACACCUUUAUUUAUCUAGCCCUAAUCUUUGCUCUUGAAUGUGUGCUUACCAAAGAAAAAGGGGAAGAAAAGGCAUUGUGUGUAUUUAAGCGAAAUGUGAGGGGCACACACACACUGGUUCACCUUUGAACCUGCGUAUCUCCCAUAUUUCAACCCCAAGUAUUGGCUCAGCUUGAGAUCCAGAGCACAGAUACCAGCACACCAAGCAACCAGGACUUCCUGGGGAGCUGGUUUAAAUAGGCUGUCUGCUUUUAUUAUUGUAGAGUUGCAACUGCUUUAAUGUCCACUGUAACGGCCCUCUCACCUUAGAAAAUCUUUCCACUCCACGUGGAACUCCUUACUCCUGUGCUACAGGUAUGACAUGCAGACAUGCACUGUAGGAACUCAGUGCUGCCAACUGUUCUAUGACUGUGUGGGUUAUUUAAAGUCCCUGACUGGCUCUUUGGAACCUCUGUACAUUUUCUUUUUUUCUUAGAUAACAUCCAGUGUUAAUGAAAAAAAAAAAAACAAUGCCCAGCCAUUAUUUGUGCUGUUAACGAGAGAUAAUAGAUACAUUCUUGCCAGAUAGAAAGAUUAGAAAGGCAUACAGAGUUUAUCAAAGAGAUGUCCAUUUUUACCACUACUGACAUCCGUCUUUACUCAAAAUGAAUUAGAAAUGUAUGAGGGAAUAUGCUGCUGAACUCCAGAAAACCAUUCACGUUGCACUUUUAAUUAGGUUAAAUGGAACCUGAUCCAGAUUCCCCUUUGUUGUUAGACUGGAAUGCUGAAAAUGCUGUAAUCUACUUAUACAUCAAAUGGAAAAAGUUUUCUGUUUCUUUAAAUUUCAUUACAUUACCACGUGUUAACUAAAUAUCCAUUGUUUACAGACUGUUUCAUGUUCAGACGGAGAAAGACACACCAUCUCAAUUUAUUUAUCACAAGGCCAGGAUUUAGUUACUGUCUUUUAAACUAAAUACCAAAACCAGCUCUACUCCAUUUACAACCAUCAAGAUUGGUCAUGAAAUCUUGAGAAGAAAGUUUCUACCAUUAUCAGGUCAGACAAUAAAGAGCAAGAGAGGAAAGGAUUGCAGCCUCAGCUGGUCAUAGGAAUACCUCUAUAGAUUUUGUAAGUUACAACAGAAGGAGAUUUGGGAUGAUGGGAUGUUCACCUCUACAUGCUGAGUGGGUGCAGUGCCACAUUCCCCUUCCUGGGAAACUUUGGAACAACGAGCAGUUUAAUUUCAGUCCUGGAUUUUGAGUGUGUCAUGUAUGACAGAGAUGUUCUGAAAUACUUGGUUGCUUGUCCAUGUAUUUAUAGUUGCUUAUUACCAAAGAUCCUGAGGGACAGAGUUGUCUUAGGAGUGGGUAAAAACAGGAAUACAGAAGAAACAACCGAGAAACAGAUGUUGCCUUCCCUGAAAGUGUCCCAGUGCAUGGGAAUUGCUUCAUAAUCACUUCAAAAUAGAUGGUUUUUAGCAUCAACAGCACGUUGCAGUUCCAAACUGGAUUUGCUGAUCAGGUUUGACUUCGACUUUCUACCUCAAAACCACAAAUUAUUCAAAACACAGCAAAAAGCAAGGCUGAGAACAAUGUAAAUGAGAGCAGCUAAAUCAAACAGAGGAAAACCUCACAGGGGCUUUCACAGCCCAUAGUUAACUUCCUAUUAACAAACAACCCCAGACUGUCCCAUGAAACAGCACUUUUCAGGCAACUGUUCCAGAUUACGCUAUAAUUUGCCUCAAUGAUUUACACAACGCUGUAGGUGUGUGCGGUGCUCUUUGGCACAGUGAACUGAACAGAGGAAAAGUCCUUCCCCUGGCUGCUCCCCACCUGCCAGCACGUCACGUGCAGCACCAGGCAGGAUGGAAAAAGUAAACGUACCUGGCUGCUAAUCUGUGCAAAUAUUCAUGCCACUUUUUGACAUGAUUUAUUUAAGUAAAACACAGCUCUCAUUGGCAUUCACUGGUUUUGUGAUGGAGUUGAAAGGAGUCAGGGUUGCGCUAACAACUGAUGAGAUUUCAUAACAUUGAUGUGUUUCCAUUUGCAAUUGAAAUGUGUUUCCACGUGUGUAAAGGCUUCCAUCUGCUCUCUGUAGUUGGCCAGACUUUUUUUGUUGUAUUAGUUGUUGUAUUUAGUGCCUGCUAUUUUCUAUGGAGAAGACAAUGAACACUGCAAGGACAAAAAAAGAAUAAUUUUGUUAGGGUCAGGAAAAGGAAAUUUCCAUUUAAGACUUUAAGAAGAGCCUGAAGCCAAAUACUGCAACUACUGUUCACUGGUUCUCUUGAUAGUUAGUGGCUUUUAUAAAUGCAAAAAUCCUACUUACUUAUUCAAGUAACUCACUUGCCCUUCCCUACGCCCUUCUUCCCUCCAGCAGACUGUAACCUGGAAUUUGUCUUCCAGCUCUUGCAGUCAAAGUAUUGCAGGUGAAAUUCAAAAGGAGUUGAAAUCCAAAUUACAAUGAAAUCCAAAUUACAAUUGCAUCUCAGCACAGUCUGGGAUUGUUUGUGGUAAUUAAGAUGAGUUCUGAAAGCAAGAAUUUGGAAGUAAGUCUUGCAGCCUAAUGUUACUGGCUUAAUGAACUGUAAAACACACAGUUUACACUGAAAUAAAGGAUUUUCUGAUGUUUUUGAA
Non-coding RNA from Coturnix japonica (Japanese quail), 12714 nucleotides. The record is from RefSeq and is a predicted model, not a curated record. NCBI's taxonomy places the organism in Eukaryota, Metazoa, Chordata, Aves, Galliformes, Phasianidae.